UGGAACUGACCGUCCCUAUGGUAACAAAACUCGUUAGCCAGAGCACUUCCUUCAAGACAGCAGAGGUAUGGGAAAGAGAAUGGAGGAGGCAGAGGAAAAAUGCCCAGCAAGUGGUCUUGGGAAAAGUAAUAGGGUCAGAAAUAUUGAAGGAGAGAAUGGCUUCAGAAACAGAGAAAGGCAGAGACAAGACAGAUAAUAGCAUGCUGAAGAGGAUCCUGGAAGUAAAGGGAACAAGGAAAGAAUGUAUCUGAAAAAGAACACAAAGGCAAGGUGUCUUCAGAGAGAACAAGGAACAGAGAGUAGAGCAGGAGGAAGGAGAAGAGCGAAAGAGGAGCAGAAAGGGGUUGAGUUCACAUUUAGAAUUGGAAUUUAGACUGCUCCUGCACAUGGAGAAUAAACAGUUCAUGCCUUCCCAUUUGGUCCUUCUUCCCCAAAGGGCUAUGAUGAUUCUGACAGUGAUGACGACGAGGACGACGAUGAUGAUGAUGAUGAUGGUGAUGA
Molecule: long non-coding RNA, 501 nt
Organism: Fukomys damarensis (Damara mole-rat)
Lineage: Eukaryota; Metazoa; Chordata; Mammalia; Rodentia; Bathyergidae
Exons: 3
Source: RefSeq, a predicted model, not a curated record